GCUUGACUCUAGUCUGGCACGGUGAAGAGACAUGAGAGGUGUAGAAUAAGUGGGAGGCCCCCGGCGCCCCCCCGUCCCCGCGAGGGGGCGGGGCGGGGUCCGCCGGCCUUGCGGGCCGCCGGUGAAAUACCACUACUCUUAUCGUUUUUUCACUGACCCGGUGAGGCGGGGGGGCGAGCCCCGAGGGGCUCUCGCUUCUGGCGCCAAGCGCCCGGCCGCGCCGGCCGGGCGCGACCCGCUCCGGGGACAGUGCCAGGUGGGGAGUUUGACUGGGGCGGUACACCUGUCAAACGGUAACGCAGGUGUCCUAAGGCGAGCUCAGGGAGGACAGAAACCUCCCGUGGAGCAGAAGGGCAAAAGCUCGCUUGAUCUUGAUUUUCAGUACGAGAGGAACCGCAGGUUCAGACAUUUUAUGUAUGUGCUUGGCUGAGGAGU
This 435-nucleotide non-coding RNA is filed under the name Felis catus (domestic cat). RNAcentral describes it as "Eukaryotic large subunit ribosomal RNA". It matches the Rfam family "Eukaryotic large subunit ribosomal RNA", at positions 2420 to 2766 of the family's 3401-position model. The record is from Rfam by way of RNAcentral. Lineage: Eukaryota; Metazoa; Chordata; Mammalia; Carnivora; Felidae.